RNAcentral lists this long non-coding RNA (1076 nucleotides) under Setaria viridis. Its description in RNAcentral is "long non-coding RNA (SVIR_LNC004866)". Lineage: Eukaryota; Viridiplantae; Streptophyta; Magnoliopsida; Poales; Poaceae. The record is from RNAcentral.
GCAAAUGAAUGAUCCCGAGGCACAGAUGAAGUCCUCGUUAUCGGAUUGCACAUGGUUGGAAAAUGAGUAUAGAUCAAUCCUUAAUAUUGAGAGCACUGGGAACUUUAAUGAGGCUCAAAGAAGUGAGGAGCAUUUUAUUCUUCUUCUUCUUCUUUUUCAUUCCUUUUUCUUUUCUUUCUUCUUUCUUUCUUUCUUUUUCCUCAUUUUUUUAUUUUUGCUCCUCAGAACUUCUUGCAACAUAGUACUUUACUCAGCAUAAGUCAAAGAUAUUGCGAUGAUUCUCCCCCAUGCUUAGAUGAUGCUCAUCCUCAAGCAUGAAAGAGUAAGAAAGAUAAACUGCUGAUUUAAGUACCAAAAGUUUUGAUCUUCCGCAAAAAAUUAUUUUAUUCCUCUAAGGGGACUUUCAUGCCAAAUUUCAGAGGGAAUAGAGGGGGAAACACCUCAGGCCGAUCGGCCUGGCCCCUUCUGGCCUCUAUUUUUUUCACUUUUAUUCUCCGUACUUGUGGAUACCUCCGGGUCUUGAUUUUCUUGAAAAGGCACCGAUUAAUCUUCUGAAUCUUUAUCGAAAUAUUUUUCCAUACUCAAUAAUAGGUUGUGGUCAAGGAGGUAGUCACAAAAAUAAUAUAUUUGGGUUUAGGAUGGAUCCUAGCGAGGUUUGUGAGAUUCCCAAUGUAGAAAUUCACAAUGCUUGGACAGAAAGGUUAGCAAUAAAAGUUUUAUGCAAAGGAGAUGGCCAGCUUCUAAGUCUCAUACCAUAAAAAUCAAUCUUAAUCCAACUCAUCAAAAUAUAAGUUUGCAAUCUAAAGGUUUCAUCAUGAAAGAUCAUGCAUGUAUGUAGAUAGCAUAUGAAUCAAUUUUAAAUAAAAAUAAAUUAAGUUAUGAGGUCAUCAGAAAACUUAAAUCAAAGAGCAACAUAGAGUUUGUGGGUCUAGAAUUUAGUUAUUUAACCUCCACAAUUAAAAGAGCUGGUAUCUAAUCCAUUUAAGUUCAUUAAACAGAGAGUAAUUAGUCAAGUCAUAUACAACAUUGUGUAGGUACAACAAAGCGACAACCUUCAUCAUUUUUCCAUAAGCAAG